AGCCCCAAACCAAGCCUAACACAACACGAUACAACCCGCCCCCCUCAGCCCGCACCCAAUAAAACAUUUUACUCUUCUAGUAGAGGCGAUCGAAAGACUUUUAAGCGCUUUACAAAAAGUACCGCAAGGGAACGGUGAAAUAGAUUUGAAAUAGUCCCAAGCACUAAACAGCAGAGACCUCCCCCUCGUACCUUUUGCAUCAUGGUUUAGCCAGGCCUCAUCAGGCAAGACGAAAUCUCAGUUUGACCCCCCGAAACUAGGCGAGCUACUUCGAAACAGCUUUAAAGAGCAAACCCGUCUCUGUUGCAAAAGAGUGGGACGAUUUCCAAGUAGAAGUGAAAAGCCUAUCGAGCCUAGAGAUAGCUGGUUACUCGGGAAAAGAAUGUUAGUUCACCCUCAAGCUUCCCAAUUAACUUAAACAGCCCACUAAGCUUGAGAGCCACUCAAAUAAGGCACAGCUUGUUUGAAAAAGAAUACAGUCUAAAACAAAGGGUAAGUAAUAAAACACCCCAAAGUGGGCCUGAAAGCAGCCACCUUUGAAAAAGCGUUAAAGCUUAUUUCCCCCCCCCCCCCCCCAUAAUCCCAACACCCCUCACGAACCCUUAACCACUACUGAGUAGCCCUAUAAAUUAUAGGAGAUAUUAUGCUAAAACUAGUAACAAGAAUAAGACAUUCUCCAAAAUGUAAGUGUAUGUUAAAACGGACCCACCAUCAACCUUUACCGCCUAUGAACCCAAUAUAGUAACCCAACAAGAAAAACCUAUAGCCUCUGGCGUUAAUCUAACACAAGAACAUUUCUGGAAAGAUUAAAAGAGAAAGAAGGAACUCGGCAAACCUAGGCCCCGCCUGUUUACCAAAAACAUCGCCUCUUGAUUAACUAUAAGAGGUCCCGCCUGCCCAGUGACAUUGUUCAACGGCCGCGGUAUCCUGACCGUGCGAAGGUAGCAUAAUCACUUGUUCUUUAAAUGGGGACUAGUAUGAAAGGCACCACGAGGGCUUUACUGUCUCCUUUCUCCAAUCAGUGAAACUGAUCUCCCUGUGAAAAAGCAGGAAUACUAAUAUAAGACGAGAAGACCCCAUGGAGCUUUAAACCCAAUGACAACCCGAACACCCCCAACCCAUUAGAGUUUUAUAAGUACUGUCCAUUGGUUUUAGGUUGGGGUGACCGCGGAGAACAAAAUAACCUCCAUGACGAACGGGACUAACCCCUAAUCCAAGAGCCACAGCUCUAAGAAUUAACAUAUUAACGUUAACUGAUCCAAUCAAUUGAUCAACGAACCAAGUUACCCUGGGGAUAACAGCGCAAUCCAUUUUGAGAGCCCCUAUCGAAAAAUGGGUUUACGACCUCGAUGUUGGAUCAGGGUACCCAGGUGGUGCA
RNAcentral lists this ribosomal RNA (1378 nucleotides) under Phrynoderma hexadactylum (Indian five-fingered frog). RNAcentral's name for it is "partial 16S rRNA". It matches the Rfam family "Bacterial large subunit ribosomal RNA", at positions 361 to 2557 of the family's 2925-position model. Lineage: Eukaryota; Metazoa; Chordata; Amphibia; Anura; Dicroglossidae. The record is from RNAcentral.